Molecule: long non-coding RNA, 1120 nt
Organism: Carlito syrichta (Philippine tarsier)
Lineage: Eukaryota; Metazoa; Chordata; Mammalia; Primates; Tarsiidae
Exons: 2
Source: RefSeq, a predicted model, not a curated record
GCUUUCAUGAAGCAUUUAUUUUUAUUCGAAAACAUUAUGCAGGCAUUACAUUGCCACAGCCAGUCCAUGGGCGCGCAUGCAAAUAUCAAAAAUGGAGAGUUUGUUCAACUUGGUGUAAAUUUACUUUUUGGUUCGUAUUUUUCACUUGCAGUGUCAGGAUUAGUGUGCUUUGUUAUGUGGUUUAACGAUAGACUCCUACCCAUGGGGUAAAAUCUGUACUGGUAGCUAGCUGGGGACUUCUAAAUGGUUAUAAAUCAAAAACCCCAAACAAACAAUAGUACACGCUCAUCAAAAGGUUAAUAGCACAAGUUAGCAAUAUCUAAACUAAACACUGAAACAUUUUUCAUGGGACACAGUGGUGUAAAGUCUUCCAUUGCUUGGUCUACCUGGUUGGGUAUUUGAGUUUGAAGCUGUGGGAAGGUCUGACCAAGGCAAGCUCUGUCCCCAGGGCACGUUUUCAUCGAGGAAGUGAGAACCACCCCUUAUCUCUAGUGGGGUUUAGGAGAAUCAUGGCUUGCUCUUACCCAAUCAACUUCUACACAAAUUGCUGAAGUCUCAUGUUUUUGAGGAGAGGUUGGUGGUGGAUUGAAAAGCUGAAAUUUCUGCUGGUGUCUACUGAGGUUAUGAGAUCUCAGAAACGAAAACGCUAGAGUUAAUGUCAUCCUACUCCCAUUUCCCUCCCCAUUCCCAAAGGAUCAAUAAUUUUACACAGAAAGAGAAUUUGUUCUUUGCUGCUUUUUUUUCUUCCUGAAGGGUCAGCAUGGAACUCCUGAUCUUGAACAAUUCAAUAUAUUAUCAACCUUUCUAAACAGACAAACCAGCACACUUAGGUCACCCAGUUACAUGGAAGUCUGAGUAUUAGGACACUAAAUGAUAAAGGGUAUACAGUGAAUUAAUCUCAGUAUUCACACUUGGUUUCCAUACAAUGGAGCCAAUUAAAAUAUCCUAUAAAAUAAUUCAGAUGGCAACCUUUAGCCAUCUGUUGGUUGCAAACCUUUUGGAAAUUUAAAUUUUAAAAAAAUUCCUGUCUAUUGAGUGAACUUGGAAAUAAUUUCAUCAACUUGUUUCUCAUAAGACUUUACUAAGUGUCUACAAAUUGUUAUAAAAAAAAUCAAAAAGA